Molecule: unclassified non-coding RNA, 255 nt
Filed under: Raphidiopsis mediterranea FCC MDQ
Lineage: Bacteria; Bacillati; Cyanobacteriota; Cyanophyceae; Nostocales; Aphanizomenonaceae
Description: partial 16S-23S ribosomal RNA intergenic spacer
Source: RNAcentral
UUUAGGGAGACCUACCCAUUGAAGAAUCGAAAGCGGAAAGCGAAUAGAGAAUCAAAUGGUCUACUCUAGGUCGGUCGAGAAUUGGUCAAGUCUCUUUCAAAGUAUUAUAUUUCCGGUGAUCCCCAGCAACUAGGAAAGACCUAGACUGCUGGUGAUGAACCAGCCAGAACCUUGAAAACUGCAUAUAGAAAGAUAAGAGUAAGAGUAAGUGGUCAAGCUAAUAAGGGCUCAUGGUGGAUACCUAGGCACACAGAG